GGUCCUUUGGGAAGUGUCCAGGGAGACUUUCCUGGGGAAAAUUAUUUGGCACUAAGUUUGUGGGGCUGAAAAUGGGAAGCCGUGUGGUUCUGGGGUUAGUCAGUGGCCCAGAGGAAAGAGGACCUGUUGGAGCCCACGUAUGCACUGUGGAGUCUGGCAGAGCCCAAAGGGAGAGGCAGCCGGGCAGACAGAAGCCCUUGUUCCUGCUCUCCCCCCCAACCCCAGAUGUUGCCAGGGAACUGAGGCCAGGGGGCUGGUGGGGGCGGAUGGAGGCCAGGGCCUAAGUGAUGAUUCAAACCUACUCACCAACGCUAAGGAACGUCUGUAGGCCAGCUGCCCGGAGCUCCCACCAGGCUGGGGGCCAAGCCUUCUAUCAGCCCCAGCCCAGGCUCUUAGCUCAUCUUCUGAACAGAAUUGGGGUUUCUCCUUGGUACCCCUAGACCCCCAGGGUCCCUUGCCUACUUCUCCCAGCUGGCAGCCUCUCUCCUCUUUCCCCCAGUCCCCCCCUUCCUUCAAAGCUCCCUUCUCCCCCAACUCCCCCGGUCUUCCCUGAGUGCUCCCGAGGCCCCCCACCCCACCCUUACAUAUAGGAACCAGCCUGGAAAAAUUCCUGGUUGGGCUUUGACCCAAUAGCUCCCAGGUUCCCCCCAGGGAACAAAGAGGGGGUUCUGAUACCUGAGGGAAGAGAGGGACCAACCAGUCUCAUUAUGAAUCCAGAUCAGUGCCAGGCCCAGGGCUGAUGUAGCCUCUGUGAGUGCCGGGGCUGAGAACUGGACUGUGACGGCAUCCCCCAAAUUGACCAAACGAUCCAGGGAGGUUACUCAGCCAACCCCCUGCCUCAGCACAUGGUGCUAGGUUACCUUUUUAGUAGCCCAAUUCCACACGACUGGUGUCCUGAUGCCCCUAUGAGCAGAAGAGCUGCCCACCCCCAUCCCAUCCUACCCUUUCCAUCAUUCAUGCCUCCAGUCCUGCCUCAACCACCUGGCAGGCUCCCCAGCACAGGGACGAGGUCUCUUUCCAGUUAGGAAAUGUUUAUUUGCUGGCUCAGGGCCCCCCUCCUUACCUAGGCUCCAUGCUCCAAGCUCUGCAUGGAAGAUAGAAGCGAAGCCCUUAAACAUCCUCCUUCCAACCUGGUCUACAUCUAGUGCAGCCAGAGCACAAGAUGUGUGCGGGCUUUGGCAGAGAUCCCCUCCCUCACCCCUGCAGAGCAAAGGAGCAGGCAGAGCCCAGGACAGAGUCUCCCAGCAGCACGAGCAGGGGCUCACCCUGGUCCCCUCCACGGCAUCCUUCUCACCUCAGCCUUCCCUGGCCCCUCAGGGGCCAGAAGAAGGGGUCAUAGUAAAAGACCCUGAAUUUGAGAGGAGAAUGGAGGGGUUCCAAGGUGGAGGUGGGUGUCAUUGUCAUAAUAAUCCCAGGGCUCUCCCCAAACUGACCCAAACAUCCCCCUUGGUGGUAUUCAGCAAGGUGUGUUUCAGCUACCUAUGUGAGAUUCCCUCUGUGGGCUUGGCCCAGGGAACCAAGGGAAUGAGGGGGCCGAACUGCACCCUGACCUGAGGAGCUUUUGAGCAGGCUUCAUUGGGGUGGGGAGGGGUCUCCCAGCCCCGCCCUUCAUUUCAGAGACACAGCCUGGUGGUGACUCAGAGGAGGGUCAACUCUGGAUGCUAUCCCCCAGGGCGGUGUCACCAGCUUUCCCGACAAUAUGCUGUAAUGAUGUACAAUACCCGGCCAGUGCCCACGUGAGCAUCGCAUUGAGAGCCCGACGCACCUGGGUCGCCAAAAAAGGGGACGAAGGACACAGAAUCAGGAAUGCAAAUCAACAAUCGGUAGACCACAUCGUGUCUCUCCAGCACCAUCUCCUCUGACAGACUUAAUCCCCCCAACAUGCUCCCUCCACAGGUCGCUGAAGGGCUGGGAGUCCCAGGACACACUGAACCCCCAGAGAAUCCCAAGCACACAGAAGGACCCAAGGUGGUUCCGCUGUGAUGGAAGAAAGGUCUCCUCCCUCACACCAUCCCCUGACUCCCAGACACCUAACCGGACACAGAUCGGAUCCACUGGAAGGGCAGGAAUACCAACGUGUUGGAUUGAAGGAGAAAGAAUUGGAGUGGUUCCCUUCAAUUCCCCCUCUCCAUUGGUGCCCAGAGGUCUCCUGUCUGCCUGUCACAGACAUGCAGAGACCUGGAAACAGCACCAGGAGAAGUCAAGUCUGCUGCAUGCCAUGUGACCUUGGCCAAGUCAGUCCCUUUUUGGACCUCAAGAUCCUCCUAGGUAAAAGCAUGAGGUUAUACUCCCUAAGCUUUAAGGCUCUGUUACAGCUCCAUCAAACACUCCAACUGAGAUCACUUAUAUAAAAUGUCACAUCUUCCAGGGGGCUGUGUAUUUUGAAAGGCUCCCCUUGGAGAGGACAAUGCUUAAUUCAAAGAUGGGUGAAAUCUGGGGCACAGUACCAAGUGGUGGAGAGGAGAUGUGGUUCCAGGGAACGUCUCCAAGCCCAGCAGGUAGGGAACUGCUUCCUCUCCUACCUGGGACACUAGAAUCUCUGUCCUUUUUUAAAAGACACUGGCUUGGUGAAUCCUCACUGUGAAAAGCCCCCACCAGCUACCCUGCCCCACCCCUACACCCCCAUGGCAUGUAAUGGAAAAAGCCACACAGGCUGGACUCAAUCUUGGUUCACCCAUCCAAGCCUGGAGACUUUGAACAAGUCACAUCAUCUGCCUGAGCCUUGGUUUCCUCAUCUGUGAAAUGGGAGUUGUGGUGCUGUACCUCCCAGGGUAGUAAGAAAAUAAAUGGAGACUGUGAAUAUAAGCAAAGCUCCUGGUCUAAAGCAAGUAUCACAUACAUGUUACUUCCCUUCCCUUUCUCUGUCCCUACCCCCAUGAGUGAGCAAACUCAGAGAACACAAACUCACUAUCAUCUGACUAAAGUCAAACAGAAAAAAUUAGGGAAAUGGGUUUAUCCCAUCUCCCUGUAAAGAAGAAAGGGUGCCUGGGUGGCUCAGUCAGUUAAGCAUCUGACUCUUGAUUUCAGCUCCGAUCAUGAUCUCACGGUUCAUGGGUUCAAGUCCUGCAUCGGGCUCUGUGCUGACAGUGUGGAGCCUGCUUGGGAUUCUUUCUACCACUCCUCUUGUGCUCUCUUUCUCUGUCUCAAAAAAAUAAAUAACUAAACUUAAAAAAAAAAAAAGAAGGAGGAGGAGAA
This is a long non-coding RNA of Acinonyx jubatus (cheetah), 3195 nucleotides long. RefSeq lists it as uncharacterized. NCBI's taxonomy places the organism in Eukaryota, Metazoa, Chordata, Mammalia, Carnivora, Felidae. The transcript has 3 exons. The record is from RefSeq and is a predicted model, not a curated record.